Molecule: ribosomal RNA, 471 nt
Filed under: uncultured Acidobacteriota bacterium
Lineage: Bacteria; Pseudomonadati; Acidobacteriota
Description: bacterial SSU rRNA
Rfam family: Bacterial small subunit ribosomal RNA
Source: RNAcentral
GGCGGCGCGCCUAACACAUGCAAGUCGAACGAGAAAGUGGAGCAAUCCAUGAGUACAGUGGCGUACGGGUGAGUAACACGUGGGUAAUCUACCUUUUAGUGAGGAAUAACCAAGGGAAACUUUGGCUAAUACCGCAUAAGCCCUGAUCAUAAAGAGGAUGGGGAAAGCAGAAAUGCGCUGAAAGAGGAGCCCGCGGCCGAUUAGCUAGUUGGUAGGGUAAGAGCCUACCAAGGCAGAGAUCGGUAGCCGGCCUGAGAGGGCACACGGCCACACUGGCACUGAAACACGGGCCAGACUCCUACGGGAGGCAGCAGUGGGGAAUCUUGCACAAUGGGGGAAACCCUGAUGCAGCGACGCCGCGUGAGCGAUGAAGCCCUUCGGGGUGUAAAGCUCUUUCGGCAGGGAAGAUAGUGACGGUACCUGCAGAAGCAGCUGCGGCUAACUACGUGCCAGCAGCCGCGGUAAUACGUA